GGUAAUAUAAUGACAGUAGAUGGUAGACCAGGGUAAUAUCAUGACAGUAGAUGGUAGACCAGGGUAAUAUCAUGACAGUAGAUGGUAGACCAGGGUAAUAUAAUGACAGUAGAUGGUAGACCAAGAUAAUAUAAUGACAGUAGAGGCCAGGGUAAUACAAUGACAGUAGAUGUAUACCAGGGUAAUAUAAUGACAGUAGAUGGUAGACCAGGGUAAUAUAAUGACAGUAGAUGGUAGACCAGGGUAAUAUAAUGACAGUAGAGGUUAAUAUAAUGACAGUAGAUGGUAGACCAGGUAAUAUAAUGACAGUAGAUGGUAGACCAGGGUAAUAUAAUGACAGUAGAUGGUAGACCAGGGUAAUAUAAUUACAGUAGAUGGUAGACCAGGGUAAUAUAAUGACAGUAGAUGGUAGACCAGGGUAAUAUAAUGACAGUAGAUGGUAGACCAGGGUAAUAUAAUGACAGUAGAUUGUAAUCCGGGGUAAUAUAAUGACAGUAGAUGGUAGACCAGGGUAAUAUAAUGACAGUAGAUGGUAGACCAGG
Molecule: long non-coding RNA, 542 nt
Organism: Oncorhynchus tshawytscha (Chinook salmon)
Lineage: Eukaryota; Metazoa; Chordata; Actinopteri; Salmoniformes; Salmonidae
Source: Ensembl